GCUUGUUCUGGUGAGUUCCUGUUCUCUGUUUUCUAAAAUUGCUUUGGGUUCAGAACUUUAAAGGAUUAAAGUUAGAUCUGCCAGGCUUUGAUCGCAAGACAAAGAAAAGAAAAGAAAUGUCAGCCAUAGGACAAGAGCAUAUAAUCAACCUAAUCAAAAUGUUCAACAGUUAUGCUUUAAAAGACGGAGACCAGUUUAAGAUUAUCAAAAAAGAUGUGAAGGCUAUGAUGCAGACAGAAUUCCCUGCCUUCUUUACUGGCGCUAAUAAAAAGGACAUGGACCAGAUUGUGUCUUCCCUGGACCUCGAUGAGGACGGUAAAAUGGACUUCCCAGAAUUUAUCAUUAUGAUCAGUUCAGUGUGUAUCUUGACGUUCUCAUAUAUCGAAAGCUGAAUGCUUCAACGAGGGACGAGUGCUCUAAGUGAAAAUCUGCCUUUUUACAUUUAAUCAAUAAACUUUUCUGAACACCAAUUACAUAGUAACAGUGUUCAUCAUCUUAUAGAUGUUAAGGUUUUGGUUGUAACUUAAAUCACCGCAACUUGUAAUGUUGUUAAAAGAGGCACCACUGAUGAAAACAAUUCCUCAGUGAUUAUUUUUGUUUUGUCAAGAAGACAUCCUCUCAAUAAAGAUGUUAUCCUGUUUUCCCGGA
Molecule: RNA transcript, 648 nt
Organism: Seriola aureovittata
Lineage: Eukaryota; Metazoa; Chordata; Actinopteri; Carangiformes; Carangidae
Gene name: protein S100-A1-like
Exons: 3
Source: RefSeq, a predicted model, not a curated record